UACCAGCUCUCCGAGUGGUAGGGAUGAUUAUUGGGCUUAAAGCGUCCGUAGCCGGCUUGGCGAGUCUCCUGUUAAAUUCAGCGACCUAAUCGUUGAUCCGCGGGAGAUACUACUAGGCUAGGAGGCGGGAGAGGCCGACGGUACUUCCGGGGUAGGGGUGAAAUCCUAUAAUCCCGGGAGGACCACCAGUGGCGAGGGCUGUCGGCUAGAACGCGCUCGACGGUGAGGGACGAAAGCUGGGGUAGCGAACCGGAUUAGAUACCCGGGUAGUCCCAGCUGUAAACUAUGCGGGCUAGGUGCUGGGGUGGCUACGAGCCACUUCAGUGCCGCAGGUAAGCCAUUAAGCCCGCCGCCUGGGGAGUACGGCCGCAAGGCUGAAACUUAAAGGAAUUGGCGGGGGAGCACCACAAGGCGUGAAGCUUGCGGUUC
This 429-nucleotide ribosomal RNA is filed under the name uncultured archaeon. RNAcentral's name for it is "bacterial SSU rRNA". It matches the Rfam family "Archaeal small subunit ribosomal RNA", at positions 474 to 903 of the family's 1478-position model. The record is from RNAcentral.